CCCUCAGAUGGGAACAUCCCAAAAGUCUGCAGAAGCUCAGCCUCUGAGGUGAACGUUGUGGCCCAAACCUCUCUCUGCUCUGUACCUCACAGGAUUCCAGCCGGCUGUUCCAAUCCAGGAGGACACCUGUGCCACCGAAGUCUCCGAGCACCUGGGCAGUGAAGUGCCAUUUAAUCCCGCUGUGAUGCACAGACCUUGCCCUGGCUGUCUGCACAGGGCUGAAUUUCACCCCUUCCGAGUUUAUUCUAAGGGCCCCCCGUGCAUCAUAUGGGCAUUCUUCGGGGUGCAGAUGGCAUCAGACCUGCACCUGAAUAAAUAAUAGGGACUGAAAUAUGCAGACACUAAAGUUCUGCAGCCAAAUUCUCAGGAACCUUCCUCUUCCAUGUAGGAUCAGGAUUUUGUUUUGAAUUGUUUUAUUUUUUUAAAAAAGUGCUAAGCAGAUGCUACCCUGUAAGAAGAGGAAACAGAAGCAAAAACUGAAAGACUGUUACUAAAACCAAUGAACAGCUGCAGAGAGUGGAGACCCAGCAAAGCAGACAAAUGAAUACUGUGAAUAAAUAACCUGAAAGCAAAUGGGGAAGAAAACCUCCUCUGGGUAAUUGUGGCUCUUGGGACCAAAAUCAGGUUCCUGGGAAAGGAUCCCCAAAGGAGGUGUAAGGAUCCGGGACUCUAGUGUCUGCCAGAAGCUUCAGCCACCUUCACAGGUUAGAGCUCGCCCUCCAUUGCGGAGGUGAAGACCAGAUGGGAGCUGCUGGAUUGACCUUGAUGUGCCAUGUCCUUGUGUGGAUGAAGGACCUACAUCUCAGGGGUGGCCAGCAGCAGAUGUAACACACGUGUCCAGGAAUGGGCUAAAUAACCUACCUUGAGAGGCAAGUAAAAUCGUGGCCACAUGUAGACAUCACAGGAAUUGACCCAGGGUCCUUCAGCACAAGCCCCUCUCUCUCACUGUCAACAAAUCCAGCUCCACCCACUAGACCACACCCCAUUCCAGAGCCCCAGA
This is a long non-coding RNA of Mauremys reevesii (Reeves's turtle), 1000 nucleotides long. RefSeq lists it as uncharacterized. Lineage: Eukaryota; Metazoa; Chordata; Testudines; Geoemydidae. The record is from RefSeq and is a predicted model, not a curated record. The transcript has 4 exons.